CUCUUUGUCUCCUAGGACUAGGUAAGCUCUGGACAUAGAUGGAGAAACCUUCCUGGGCUUCUCCAUAGGCCCCAGCCCAGUGUCCCCUGCAAGUGCUAUACGGACGUCUUCCUGUCUCCACUUCUGAUUCUGUGUCUCCCUCACUACAGCAUGAUUGAAGAAGACACCCAUUGUGAUUCAGGAUAUGUACAGUCACAGAGAGAAGCCCUCACACUGACAUAUCAACUCCAUAGGAAACAACAAUACUCACUGCUAGGCUGAUGGACACAAAAUCACCACCCUGCUUGUGAAAUGCACACCAAGCUCUUCUCCUGUGUGGCCUUCAGUCUCCUGUGGGCAGGGCACACAGAGGCUGGAAUCACCCAGAGCCCAAGAUACAAGGUCACAAAGACAAAUGAAAAGGUGACUUUGAACUGCCACCAGACCAAUAACCACGACUACAUGUACUGGUAUCGACAAGACCCAGGGCGUGGGCUGAAGCUGAUCUAUUACUCAUAUGAAGUUAACAGAUUUGAGAAAGGAGAAGUAGCCGAUGGAUACAAAGUCUCCAGAACAAACACAGAGGAAUUUUCCCUCACUGUGGACUCAACCAGCCUGUCCCAGUCAUCUGUGUAUUUUUGUAGCAGCAGUUUUACCACAGAGCUGCACAGCCACCUCCUCUCUGUACAUUAAAGUGCAGUUGGGAAGACUGACUAUGCC
This is a non-coding RNA of Fukomys damarensis (Damara mole-rat), 699 nucleotides long. The record is from the annotation of a RefSeq genome assembly. NCBI's taxonomy places the organism in Eukaryota, Metazoa, Chordata, Mammalia, Rodentia, Bathyergidae.